This 495-nucleotide ribosomal RNA is filed under the name uncultured bacterium. RNAcentral's name for it is "partial 16S ribosomal RNA". It matches the Rfam family "Bacterial small subunit ribosomal RNA", at positions 28 to 507 of the family's 1533-position model. The record is from RNAcentral.
GACGAACGCUGGCGGCGUGCCUAAUACAUGCAAGUAGAACGCUGAAGGAGGAGCUUGCUCUUCUGGAUGAGUUGCGAACGGGUGAGUAACGCGUAGGUAACCUGCCUGGUAGCGGGGGAUAACUAUUGGAAACGAUAGCUAAUACCGCAUAAUAGUAGAUGUUGCAUGAUAUUUACUUAAAAGGUGCAAUUGCACCACUACCAGAUGGACCUGCGUUGUAUUAGCUAGUUGGUGGGGUAACGGCUCACCAAGGCGACGAUACAUAGCCGACCUGAGAGGGGGAUCGGCCAAACUGGGACUGGGACACGGCCCAGACUCCUACGGGAGGCAGCAGUAGGGAAACUUCGGCAAUGGACGAAAGUCUGAACGGGCAACGCCGCGUGAGUGAAGAAGGUUUUCGGAUCGUAAAGCUCUGUUGUAAGAGAAGAAAGAGUGUGGGAGUGGAAAGUUCACACUGUGACGGUAUCUUACCAGAAAGAGACGGCUAACUACGUG